RNAcentral lists this ribosomal RNA (253 nucleotides) under uncultured bacterium. Its description in RNAcentral is "partial 16S ribosomal RNA". It matches the Rfam family "Bacterial small subunit ribosomal RNA", at positions 524 to 776 of the family's 1533-position model. The record is from RNAcentral.
UACGGAGGUCGCAAGCGUUGUUCGGAAUUACUGGGCGUAAAGCGCGUGUAGGCGGUCUGGUAAGUCGGUUGUGAAAUCCCCGGGCUCAACCCGGGAACUGCAUCCGAAACUUCCAGGCUAGAGUUUCGGAGAGGAAGGCAGAAUUCCCAAUGUAGGGGUGAAAUCCGUAGAUAUUGGGAGGAAUACAAGUGGCGAAGGCGGCCUUCUGGACGACGACUGACGCUGAGACGCGAAAGCGUGGGGAGCAAACAGG